RNAcentral lists this ribosomal RNA (271 nucleotides) under uncultured prokaryote. RNAcentral's name for it is "partial 16S ribosomal RNA". It matches the Rfam family "Bacterial small subunit ribosomal RNA", at positions 524 to 794 of the family's 1533-position model. The record is from RNAcentral.
UACGUAGGUGGCGAGCGUUGUCCGGAUUUACUGGGCGUAAAGGGAGCGUAGGCGGACUUUUAAGUGAGAUGUGAAAUACCCGGGCUCAACUUGGGUGCUGCAUUUCAAACUGGAAGUCUAGAGUGCAGGAGAGGAGAAUGGAAUUCCUAGUGUAGCGGUGAAAUGCGUAGAGAUUAGGAAGAACACCAGUGGCUAAGGCGAUUCUCUGGACUGUAACUGACGCUGAGGCUCGAAAGCGUGGGGAGCAAACAGGAUUAGAUACCCCGGUAGU